UUAACUAGGAUUAGAUACCCUAUUAUAUGAGCAGUAAAAAAACACAGCACCAGAGAACUACGAAUUAAAAUUUAAAACUCAAAGGACUUGGCGGUUUUUUAGACCUUCCUGGAGGAGCUUGCUAUUCAACCGAUAACCCACGAAAUACCUCACCAAUUUUUGAAAAAUUCAACCUGUAUACCAUCGUCGUCAGUCUACCUCUCAAGAGAAGUUUUCAUAACGAAUGACCCCUCUCAACGUCAGAUCGAGGUGCAGUCUAUAAAUUGGCAAUAAGUGAGCUACAAUAAAUCUUCAAUGAUAAACCACAAAUAUGAAUGGUUUCCUGAAAGGGAGACUUAAAAUAGGAUUCAGCAGUAAUACUCACAAGAAAAUGA
Molecule: ribosomal RNA, 374 nt
Filed under: Astropecten polyacanthus
Lineage: Eukaryota; Metazoa; Echinodermata; Asteroidea; Paxillosida; Astropectinidae
Description: partial 12S ribosomal RNA
Rfam family: Bacterial small subunit ribosomal RNA
Source: RNAcentral